UUUUAUCCUUCUCGCUCUCUCUGUCUCUAUCGCUCUCUCACUCUCUCUCUCUCUCAUAACUCUUUGCGGUCAUGGCUAUUAAUCAAUUUCAAAACCUUUCUAUUUUCUAUUAUUUUCUAGGCAACCAAACAAAGUUCUAGGUUUUUUUUUUUUUUUUUUGAUUUUUUAUGAAUUUCGUUUUGAUUUCCUCAUCAAGAUCAUCGCCAUCGAAUUGAUUUCACCGUCUCGCUCCUCCUUCAGCAAUUCACCGUUCUCCAAUUUCGGCAGUUAUAUAGUGGAGAAGAAUAGGAAACUUCAGAACCAGUUUGAAGCCGAAGCUUCGACUUCUUCUCAUGGUGGUUCGGGUUCUGUGAAGCCUAUAUUCGAUGGGGUUUCCAUCUUUGUCGAUGGUUUCACGGUUCCUUCCAGUCAGCUGGCCUUGAUUUGGGACCAAGCCUUAGGGAAAUUUGUGCUGCAAACAGGACAGAUGAAAAGCAGCAAAUAAAAGCACUUCUUCAGAGUGUUGGCACUUCCUUUUGCCCUGACUAUUCAGAUUGGUUUGGGGAUGAAGAAGCUGGUGACACCCAUUCAAGAAAUGCGGAUAAAUCUGUUCUUUCAAAAUUUUUACAAUCUUAUCCUGCUGAUUAUUCAACUACCAAAUUGCAGAUUGUCAUACAAGCUGGCUUACUCAAAGAAGGGUUAUGUUCUGUUCAGGAUGAGAGUGCAGGUCAUUUUAUCCUAACUUUAAUUUGGAUGCGAGUCAAAUUAUGGCUUCCACUAAAAAAGGAAGUGGAUUUUCAUAAAUAUAUCUUUUCCUGACAUGUUGUGGUCAAUAUGGUGGAUCUGGUCAAAGUUCUUCCUUAUCCAUUGCAUUUGUACGGUUUUUUUUAUUGUGUUAAAAGAGUAGUUGAUUGGUUGUUGUAAAUUUAAUUAGGAAUUGCACAAUUGUGUUUACAUUAUAUUUUGAAUUAGGUUAUUAAAUUUUGAUCAAUGUAAAAAGUGUAUCCAAAUUUAUUUA
Quercus lobata is the source of this 997-nucleotide long non-coding RNA. RefSeq lists it as uncharacterized. Lineage: Eukaryota; Viridiplantae; Streptophyta; Magnoliopsida; Fagales; Fagaceae. The record is from RefSeq and is a predicted model, not a curated record. The transcript has 5 exons.